This 237-nucleotide small RNA is filed under the name Vigna angularis var. angularis. RNAcentral describes it as "Non-protein coding transcript". Lineage: Eukaryota; Viridiplantae; Streptophyta; Magnoliopsida; Fabales; Fabaceae. The record is from RNAcentral.
AAGAUUGGUUGCGAUCUGGGUGAGUUACGGUGGUCCAAUUUGGUGGAUGCGCGAGGAAGGGUUCUCACAAUGGUGCGUUAAUGGGUUUCGCAGGUUGUGAAAAAGAUGGUUUCUAGAGAUGCAGGAUUUGGGAAGCUCGCGAUUAAGGUUGUUGAAGGAUUGUGGCGGCACAUGGUGGAGCUCGUGGCGACAAGAGGUGGUUGUUGGUUGAGGGAUAUUGAUGGCAGCACAAGGAAG